This 356-nucleotide ribosomal RNA is filed under the name uncultured bacterium. RNAcentral's name for it is "bacterial SSU rRNA". It matches the Rfam family "Bacterial small subunit ribosomal RNA", at positions 29 to 376 of the family's 1533-position model. The record is from RNAcentral.
AAUGAACGCUGGCGGCGCGCCUAAUACAUGCAAGUCGAGCGAGAAGACGUAGCAAUACGUUUGUAAAGCGGCGAACGGGUGAGGAAUACAUGGGUAACCUACCCUCGAGUGGGGAAUAACUAGCCGAAAGGUUAGCUAAUACCGCGUACGCUUCUUGGACUUCGGUUCAGGGAGGAAAGCGAUGCCGAGGGUAUCGCGCUCUUGGAUGGGCUCAUGUCCUAUCAGCUUGUUGGGAGGUAACGGCUCACCAAGGCUUCGACGGGUAGCUGGUCUGAGAGGACGAUCAGCCACACUGGCACUGCGACACGGGCCAGACUCCUACGGGAGGCAGCAGUAAGGAAUAUUGCGCAAUGGGC